GCAACUCGACUACAUGAAGCUGGAAUCGCUAGUAAUCGCAGAUCAGAAUGCUGCGGUGAAUACGUUCCCGGGUCUUGUACACACCGCCCGUCACACCAUGGGAGUUGGGAAUGCCCGAAGCCGGUGGCCUAACCGCAAGGGAGGAGCUGUCGAAGGCAGGCCCGAUAACUGGGGCGAAGUCGUAACAAGGUACC
Molecule: ribosomal RNA, 194 nt
Filed under: uncultured bacterium
Lineage: Bacteria
Description: partial 16S ribosomal RNA
Rfam family: Bacterial small subunit ribosomal RNA
Source: RNAcentral